Molecule: non-coding RNA, 24 nt
Filed under: Arabidopsis thaliana (thale cress)
Lineage: Eukaryota; Viridiplantae; Streptophyta; Magnoliopsida; Brassicales; Brassicaceae
Source: RNAcentral
UUAAGUGACGAAUUGGUGGUCAUC